CAGCAGCCGCGGGAAUACGAAGGGGGCUAGCGUUGUUCGGAUUUACCGGGCGUAAAGGGCGCGUAGGCGGACUGAUAAGUCAGGGGUGAAAUCCCAAGGCUCAACCUUGGAACUGCCUUUGAUACUGUUUGUCGUGAGUUCGAGAGAGGUAAGUGGAACUGCGAGUGUAGAGGUGAAAUUCGUAGAUAUUCGCAAGAACACCAGUGGCGAAGGCGGCUUACUGGCUCGAAACUGACGCUGAGGCGCGAAAGCGUGGGGAGCAAACAGGAUUAGAUACCCCCGUAGUCCCUGUCUCUUAUAU
This 301-nucleotide ribosomal RNA is filed under the name uncultured bacterium. Its description in RNAcentral is "partial 16S ribosomal RNA". It matches the Rfam family "Bacterial small subunit ribosomal RNA", at positions 509 to 809 of the family's 1533-position model. The record is from RNAcentral.